This 562-nucleotide long non-coding RNA is filed under the name Ricinus communis (castor bean). RNAcentral describes it as "long non-coding RNA (RCOM_LNC000927)". Lineage: Eukaryota; Viridiplantae; Streptophyta; Magnoliopsida; Malpighiales; Euphorbiaceae. The record is from RNAcentral.
UCCUGGAUUAGUUACAAUUACAGGCAUUACUAAAAUUACACGACCAAUGCAGAAUGGACUUUUAAGUUUAUGUGAAGGAAACAACCUUAUCUCUGUUUUGUCUCUCAGCCUCAGGGCCUAACAGGCCUCUGAUAUUGAUAAAAACACAGAUGACACAAGAAAAUGUCAGCAUAACAUACCUGCCACCUUGUUAUGUAGAAACCUUUUGGCAUGAGAUUGCUUCGGUUUGCAUUAGGGCCAGGCAACAAGAAAGGAAUACCCAAUGUUGCAAAGCCAUACACCCUCUUGGGAUGUAAGACAGCUACUAGGCUUAAUGCUAGAACUCCAAAAUCUUUGGCAAUUAAAAAAACCUGGUAUAAGAAGUCCCAACUAUUAUUUGGCCAAUUGCAAAAGGCUACAUUCUCUAGUUUAGUUAGACUUAUCAUUGGCCUUUGCAAAUAAUGGAUUCAAUAAACUAGAAUUCUUGAGCAACUGAUGACAAAGGGGAACAGUGUCCACAGAACAAUAUUUAUGUGGUUGUUUUGAAUUAAUUCUUUUCAAGGUAGUAUUUACAAAAGAAGGC